This 295-nucleotide ribosomal RNA is filed under the name uncultured bacterium. Its description in RNAcentral is "partial 16S ribosomal RNA". It matches the Rfam family "Bacterial small subunit ribosomal RNA", at positions 30 to 326 of the family's 1533-position model. The record is from RNAcentral.
AUUGAACGCUGGCGGCAUGCCUUACACAUGCAAGUCGAACGGCAGCACGGGAGCAAUCCUGGUGGCGAGUGGCGAACGGGUGAGUAAUAUAUCGGAACGUGCCCAGUCGUGGGGAUAACGUAGCGAGAGCUACGCUAAUACCGCAUACGAUCUAUGGAUGAAAGCGGGGGAUCGCAAGACCUCGCGCGAUUGGAGCGGCCGAUAUCAGAUUAGGUAGUUGGUGAGGUAAAGGCUCACCAAGCCGACGAUCUGUAGCUGGUCUGAGAGGACGACCAGCCACACUGGGACUGAGACA